Molecule: non-coding RNA, 88 nt
Organism: Polyplosphaeria fusca
Lineage: Eukaryota; Fungi; Ascomycota; Dothideomycetes; Pleosporales; Tetraplosphaeriaceae
Source: the annotation of a GenBank genome assembly
GUCGAAUUAGCUCAGAUGGGAGAGCGUUAGUCUGAAGCCAUUCAGGCAGUACAACUAAAGGUCAUGCGUUCGAUCCGCAUAUUCGACA